RNAcentral lists this ribosomal RNA (253 nucleotides) under uncultured bacterium. RNAcentral's name for it is "partial 16S ribosomal RNA". It matches the Rfam family "Bacterial small subunit ribosomal RNA", at positions 524 to 776 of the family's 1533-position model. The record is from RNAcentral.
UACAGAGGGUGCAAGCGUUGUUCGGAAUUAUUGGGCGUAAAGCGCGUGUAGGCGGCUUUGCAAGUCGGGUGUGAAAGCCCUCAGCUUAACUGAGGAAGUGCGCCCGAAACUGCAGAGCUUGAGUACCGGAGAGGGUGGCGGAAUUCCCCAAGUAGAGGUGAAAUUCGUAGAUAUGGGGAGGAACACCGAUGGCGAAGGCAGCUCGCUGGGACGUGACUGACGCUGAGACGCGAAAGCGUGGGGAGCAAACAGG